AUGGAGAAGAUGAUGCUGCAGCAGGAGCAGGAGGCGCGGCCGCCCGCGUCCACGUGCCCGCCGUGGCUCCAGGCGGCCAUCGCAGACAUCGAGCAGCGCGUGCGCGCGCUGGCGGCCGGCGCGCCGGACGACGACGCGGCGGCGGCGGCCGCAGACCACUCGUUCGCCGAGCGCGCCGAGAACUACUACCAUCGCCGCCCGCAGCUGCUCGCGCUCCUCACCGACCUCCACCACCGCUACCUCUACCUCGCCGACCGCUACGCCCAAUCCCUCCUCGCCAACGCCAAGUCCUACUCCCACCACCUCAACCUCAACCUGAUCAGCUCCGACUGCUCCUCCGACCUCGACGACCGCUCCUCCGACGCCGGCAGCUCCCUCUCCUUCCAGCCCCAACUCGGAAUCGCCGAUGAUCGCUUCCCCGUUCCAGCUGCUGCUCCGGCGGUGGACGGCGAGCUGGUGGUGGCGGAGCUGGUGAUGGCGUGGGUGGACCGGGACGUGCUGGCGGACGAGGCGGACCGCCGGAGGGCCGAGUCGGCGCGCAAGAUCGACCUGCAGGGGAGCCUGCUGGAGGUGCUCGAGUCCGAGCGACUGGUCCUGCUGGGCGAGAACGCGCGCCUGGCCUUCCGCGCCUCGGCCGCCGAGGAGGAGGCUGCGGCGGCGGCUACCGAGCUCGGCUACACGCGGCGCCGCGCGGCGGACAUGGCCCGGCUGGCCGUGAAGCUGCGGGACGACCACCGGGCGUGCAUCCUCGGGCGGAAGGUGGAGGCGCUGCAGGCGCAGGUGUAUGGGCUGGAGCUCCGCAACCGGGAGUGCUUCGAGGCCAUGGCCGCCUGGGAGGCCGAGAGGAAGGCCGGCGUCGCCGAGAUCGAACGCCUCCGCGCCGAGAACCGCCGCCUCGCCGCCGAGGCCGCGCAGGCGUCGGCGAGGAGGAAGCGUGGGGGCGGCAAGGGUGGCGGGAGCGGUUGGUGGUGGCUGGCGAGGGUGCGGCUGGCGGCCGAGUGGACGCCGUGCGCGCCGUCGUCGGUGACGGUGAGGAAGGUCGGCGAGCAGAUGAAGGGCGGCAAGUACAACGGCGGCUGCUUCUGCCUGUAG
RNAcentral lists this ribosomal RNA (1092 nucleotides) under Triticum aestivum (bread wheat). RNAcentral's name for it is "partial small subunit ribosomal RNA". Lineage: Eukaryota; Viridiplantae; Streptophyta; Magnoliopsida; Poales; Poaceae. The record is from RNAcentral.